RNAcentral lists this ribosomal RNA (253 nucleotides) under uncultured bacterium. RNAcentral describes it as "partial 16S ribosomal RNA". It matches the Rfam family "Bacterial small subunit ribosomal RNA", at positions 524 to 776 of the family's 1533-position model. The record is from RNAcentral.
UACAGGGGGGGCAAGCGUUGUUCGGAAUUACUGGGCGUAAAGGGCCAGUAGGCGGCCAACUAAGUCCGACGUGAAAUCCCCAGGCUUAACCUGGGAACUGCGUCGGAUACUGGAUGGCUUGAAUUCGGGAGAGGGAUGCAGAAUUCCAGGUGUAGCGGUGAAAUGCGUAGAUAUCUGGAGGAAUACCGGUGGCGAAGGCGGCAUCCUGGACCGACAUUGACGCUGAAUGGCGAAAGCUAGGGGAGCAAACGGG